UACGUAGGGCGCAAGCGUUGUCCGGAAUUAUUGGGCGUAAAGAGCUCGUAGGCGGCUUGUCGCGUCGGAUGUGAAAGCCCGGGGCUUAACCCCGGGUCUGCAUUCGAUACGGGCAGGCUGGAGUGUGGUAGGGGAGAUCGGAAUUCCUGGUGUAGCGGUGAAAUGCGCAGAUAUCGGGAGGAACACCAGUAGCGAAGGCGGCUCGCUGGGCCAUACCUGACGCUGAGACGCGAAAGCAUGGGGAGCGAACAGG
Molecule: ribosomal RNA, 253 nt
Filed under: uncultured bacterium
Lineage: Bacteria
Description: partial 16S ribosomal RNA
Rfam family: Bacterial small subunit ribosomal RNA
Source: RNAcentral